GAAUAAUCACUCCAACACUGAUAACAUCCUUAAUUUAUUCAGUUCAAUGAAGCAAUCAGACACAUUACAAUACAAUCAUAACAAUUUUCAACAACAGAAGCUGUUUGACUUUAUAGGGAACUGUCAAAUAGAUAUUUCAUACAGAAACAUGCCUAAAAGUUAAAAAAUAAUAACAAUAAAUAAAAGAAGAAUAAGAAGCUAAGUUUUUGUUUUUGAAUUUUGAUAGCCUUUUGAAAGUCCA
RNAcentral lists this unclassified non-coding RNA (241 nucleotides) under Hevea brasiliensis (rubber tree). Lineage: Eukaryota; Viridiplantae; Streptophyta; Magnoliopsida; Malpighiales; Euphorbiaceae. The record is from RNAcentral.